ACCGCGGUUGUCCAGUUGGUAAGUGGCGUCGGCAGCACAGUUGCCGAAGGUCGCAGGUUCAAAUCCUGCCUGCGGUG
Molecule: non-coding RNA, 77 nt
Organism: Phthorimaea operculella (potato tuberworm)
Lineage: Eukaryota; Metazoa; Arthropoda; Insecta; Lepidoptera; Gelechiidae
Source: the annotation of a GenBank genome assembly